UACGUAGGGUGCAAGCGUUAAUCGGAAUUACUGGGCGUAAAGCGUGCGCAGGCGGCUUUGCAAGUCAGAUGUGAAAUCCCCGGGCUUAACCUGGGAACUGCAUUUGUGACUGCAUCGCUGGAGUGCGGCAGAGGGGGAUGGAAUUCCGCGUGUAGCAGUGAAAUGCGUAGAUAUGCGGAGGAACACCGAUGGCGAAGGCAAUCCCCUGGGCCUGCACUGACGCUCAUGCACGAAAGCGUGGGGAGCAAACAGG
This 253-nucleotide ribosomal RNA is filed under the name uncultured bacterium. RNAcentral's name for it is "partial 16S ribosomal RNA". It matches the Rfam family "Bacterial small subunit ribosomal RNA", at positions 524 to 776 of the family's 1533-position model. The record is from RNAcentral.